AACUGAUACUACCUGCGGGAACCUGCGGAAGGAUCAUUACCGAGUUUACAACUCCCAAACCCAAUGUGAACGUUACCAAACUGUUGCCUCGGCGGGAUCUCUGCCCCGGGUGCGUCGCAGCCCCGGACCAAGGCGCCCGCCGGAGGACCAACCAAAAACUCUUUUUGUAUACCCCCUCGCGGGUUUUUUAUAUCUGAGCCUUUCUCGGCGCCCCUUCGUGGGCGUUUCGAAAAUGAAUCA
Molecule: unclassified non-coding RNA, 240 nt
Filed under: soil metagenome
Description: partial contains 5.8S ribosomal RNA, internal transcribed spacer 2, and large subunit ribosomal RNA
Source: RNAcentral